RNAcentral lists this small RNA (565 nucleotides) under Pan troglodytes (chimpanzee). RNAcentral's name for it is "retained intron". The record is from RNAcentral. Lineage: Eukaryota; Metazoa; Chordata; Mammalia; Primates; Hominidae.
AAGCCAACUCAGACUCAGCCAACAGGUAAGUGGGCAUUACAGGAGAAGGGCACCUCUAACAUGCACUGUAGAUCUAAAAUCUUCAGGAAGAUACAGCAUGAGUUUCUGUCCAAGAGGUUUUAGCUGUAAUGAAGCCUCAGUGGGAUCCAAAGUUGUUUUUCAGUUACUGAGUCUGUAUAAUCCCCACUCUCAAGAGAAACAUUUGAAGGUGUGGGUGUCUCAGAGGACCUUCCUGGUCUCAGAAAUUCUGAGAGGAGGUUUUAAGGAAGGUAAUAGGUGCUUUGCUCUCCAUCUCUCAGAACCCCCUUCUCUGUGUUCUCCUAUAGAGAUUGUUGAUUUGCCUCUUAAGCAAGAGAUUCAUUGCAGCUCAGCAUGGCUCAGACCAGCUCAUACUUCAUGCUGAUCUCCUGCCUGAUGUUCCUGUCUCAGAGCCAAGGCCAAGAGGCCCAGACAGAGUUGCCCCAGGCCCGGAUCAGCUGCCCAGAAGGCACCAAUGCCUAUCGCUCCUACUGCUACUACUUUAAUGAAGACCGUGAGACCUGGGUUGAUGCAGAUGUGAGUGAGG